This 822-nucleotide ribosomal RNA is filed under the name Atractolytocestus sagittatus. RNAcentral's name for it is "partial large subunit ribosomal RNA". It matches the Rfam family "Bacterial large subunit ribosomal RNA", at positions 683 to 2613 of the family's 2925-position model. The record is from RNAcentral. Lineage: Eukaryota; Metazoa; Platyhelminthes; Cestoda; Caryophyllidea; Lytocestidae.
CUGUAUUGAUAAAACGGUUAAACACCCCCAACCGAAACCCCGAGAUCUCUAGAUAUGUAGUUUGGCACCUGAAACGGGUAGUUAUUUAAACAUGUUUGGUGAGGUGAUAAAUUAGUCGUUUGGGGUUAUAUCUGUUUUACGGGUUGCGUUAUUAUUGUAACACCAAGGUAAAGAGAUUUUGGUGUUUUCUAUAUCCUCCUUACGUUAAAUAUUGAUUUGGGUUAAGAUUACCCCCACGUUGUAGAUUAUGUUACUAUUCUAAUCUUUUGUGAUGGGUGAUUAGUUUUGUCCCCGUAUAGUUUAAUAAAAUAAACUCCCCCUAUGGUAUAAUAAGUAAUUAUAUUAUCAGCAAUCUAUCUCAUGAGCAGCCCAACUGUUUAUUAAAAACAUUUCUGCCUAACAAUUUGGGCUGUAAGACCUGCCCGGUGUUUAUAUUAACGGCCGCAGUAUUAUGACUGUGCGAAGGUAGCAUAAUUAAUUGCCCCACAAUUGGGGGCUUGUUUGAAUGGUUUAAUGUGGUUGUUUUUAAGAUUGCGGUUUUAUUUGAAAUUAAUAUCGCGUUACAGAAUAUGCGGUUUUUAGUUAGACGGAAAGACCCCGGGAUCUUUUGUUUUGUCUGGGGCAGAUUAUGUUAUUUUAAUAUAUUUUAGACCCGUUGAUUAAAGGUUUAAGAUACCCCGGGGAUAACAGGGUAAUAACUCACUAGAGGCCCUAUCGAAUGAGUUGGUUGCUACCUCGAUGUUGACUUGGGUCCCCACCAACGGCGCAGUAGUUGUUGGUGUUGGUCUGUUCGACCAGAAUAACCCUCAUGAGUUGAGUUAA